Molecule: ribosomal RNA, 433 nt
Filed under: uncultured bacterium
Lineage: Bacteria
Description: partial 16S ribosomal RNA
Rfam family: Bacterial small subunit ribosomal RNA
Source: RNAcentral
AACGAACGCUGGCGGCAGGCCUAACACAUGCCAGUCGAGCGGACCCUUCGGGGUUAGCGGCGGACGGGUGAGUAACGCGUGGGAAGAUGCCCUUCUCUACGGAAUAGUCCUGGGAAACUGGGGGUAAUACCGUAUACGCCCUUUGGGGGAACGAUUUAUCGGGGAAGGAUUAGCCGGGGUUGGAUUAGGUAGUUGGUGGGGUAAUGGCCUACCAAGCCGACGAUCCAUAGCUGGUUUGAGAGGAGGAUCAGCCACACUGGGGCUGAGACACGGCCCAGAAUCCUACGGGAGGGAGCAGUGGGGAAUCUUAGAAAAUGGGGGCAACCCUGAUAGAGCCAUGCCGGGUAAGUGAUGAAGGCGGUAGGGAAGUAAAGCUGUUUCAGACGGGAAGAUAAUGACGGUACCAGCAGAAGAAGCACCGGCUAACUCCGUG